GCGAAUAAUAAACUGGAGGGGGUGGAGAUUUAUAAACUGGUGGUGGUGGAGAGUGGUAAACAGGUGGUGGAGGAGAAUGGUAGACUGGAGGCGGUGGAGAUUUAUAAACUGGAGGUGGUGGAGAGUGGUAAACAGGUGGUGGAGGAGAAUGGUAAACUGGAGGGGGUGGAGAUUUAUAAACUGGAGGUGGUGGAGAGUGGUAAACAGGUGGUGGAGGAGAAUGGUAGACUGGAGGCGGUGGAGAUUUAUAAACUGGUGGUGGUGGAGAGUGGUAAACAGGUGGUGGAGGAGAAUGGUAAACUGGAGGGGGUGGAGAUUUAUAAACAGGUGGUGGUGGAGAGUGGUAAACAGGUGGUGGAGGAGAAUGGUAAACUGGUGGGGGUGGAGAUUUGUAAACUGGUGGUGGAGGAGAAUGGUAAACUGGUGGGGGUGGAGAUUUAUAAACGGGAGGUGGUGGAGAGUGGUAAACAGGUGGUGGAGGAGAAUAGUAAACUGGAGGGGGUGGAGAUUUGUAAACUGGUGGUGGAGGAGAAUGGUAAACUGGUGGGGGUGGAGAUUUAUAAACUGGAGGUGGUGGAGAGUAAACAGGUGGUGGAGGAGAAUGGUAAACUGGAGGUGGUGGAGAGUGAUAAAUAG
This 636-nucleotide long non-coding RNA is filed under the name Cucumis sativus (cucumber). RNAcentral describes it as "long non-coding RNA (CSAT_LNC002828)". Lineage: Eukaryota; Viridiplantae; Streptophyta; Magnoliopsida; Cucurbitales; Cucurbitaceae. The record is from RNAcentral.